Molecule: ribosomal RNA, 481 nt
Filed under: uncultured bacterium
Lineage: Bacteria
Description: partial 16S ribosomal RNA
Rfam family: Bacterial small subunit ribosomal RNA
Source: RNAcentral
GAUGAACGCUGGCGGCGUGCCUAACACAUGCAAGUCGAACGGAGAUUACGGACGGAAGUUUUCGGAUGGAAGACUGUAAUUCUUAGUGGCGGACGGGUGAGUAACGCGUGGGCAACCUGCCCUAUACAGGGGGAUAGCAGCUGGAAACGGCUGGUAAGACCGCAUAAGUCGGUUAAAUCGCAUGAUUUGAUCGGGAGAUGAGCAAUCAGGUAUAGGAUGGGCCCGCGUCCGAUUAGCCAGUUGGCAGGGUAAAAGCCUACCAAAGCGACGAUCGGUAGCCGGACUGAGAGGUAGGACGGCCACAUUGGGACUGAGACACGGCCCAAACUCCUACGGGAGGCAGCAGUGGGGGAUAUUGCACAAUGGAGGAAACUCUGAUGCAGCGACGCCGCGUGAGUGAAGAAGUAUUUCGGUAUGUAAAGCUCUAUCAGCAGGGAAGAUGAUGACGGUACCUGAAUAAGAAGCCCCGGCUAACUACGUG